AAAAUUUUUAAAACCCAAUAAUAUAUAUGUAUGUGUGUGUGUUACUUGAAUAGUAAUAUGAUUUAUGUGCUUUCUUGUAAAUGUUACGUAAGAUUGCAUCAAAUUAUUUUUACAAUAAUUGUACUGUGUUGGAUGUCACAUAAAAUUCUCCGUUAAUUUACAUUUGCUUCGAUAAUAAUGUAGCAAGGGAUUAAAAAAACAUUAAAAUAUUAAUAUGAACACAUCUAUCGAGUCCUACAACAGGAUGUAGCGUUCAACUUUCGGCAAGUGUUCGUACAAUGCUCAUUCUAGGUCAUUUAUAAAAAGAUGUUCUUUGAAUGCACUCUAUUAUAGUGAAUAAUUGAGAAUAAUUGAGAAUAAUUGAGCGUAAAUGAGGAUACUCCAUU
Molecule: long non-coding RNA, 386 nt
Filed under: Physcomitrium patens
Lineage: Eukaryota; Viridiplantae; Streptophyta; Bryopsida; Funariales; Funariaceae
Description: long non-coding RNA (PPAT_LNC014421)
Source: RNAcentral